CUGCACACACGAUGGUUGUUUUCUUCUCUUACUGUUAGAUUAUAGUGGCUAUGCUUAUGGGAUGGGUUAAAGCUGCCAUGACAUGAAGAGAGAGGGCUUUCCAGUGUCUCUGUUAAAUGGCUGAACUUAACACU
Small nucleolar RNA from Microtus ochrogaster (prairie vole), 134 nucleotides. Ensembl annotates it as predicted gene, 25215. NCBI's taxonomy places the organism in Eukaryota, Metazoa, Chordata, Mammalia, Rodentia, Cricetidae. The record is from Ensembl.